RNAcentral lists this ribosomal RNA (1542 nucleotides) under Salmonella enterica subsp. enterica serovar Senftenberg. RNAcentral's name for it is "bacterial SSU rRNA". It matches the Rfam family "Bacterial small subunit ribosomal RNA". RNAcentral also lists the same sequence under 2 other names. The record is from RNAcentral. Lineage: Bacteria; Pseudomonadati; Pseudomonadota; Gammaproteobacteria; Enterobacterales; Enterobacteriaceae.
AAAUUGAAGAGUUUGAUCAUGGCUCAGAUUGAACGCUGGCGGCAGGCCUAACACAUGCAAGUCGAACGGUAACAGGAAGCAGCUUGCUGCUUUGCUGACGAGUGGCGGACGGGUGAGUAAUGUCUGGGAAACUGCCUGAUGGAGGGGGAUAACUACUGGAAACGGUGGCUAAUACCGCAUAACGUCGCAAGACCAAAGAGGGGGACCUUCGGGCCUCUUGCCAUCAGAUGUGCCCAGAUGGGAUUAGCUUGUUGGUGAGGUAACGGCUCACCAAGGCGACGAUCCCUAGCUGGUCUGAGAGGAUGACCAGCCACACUGGAACUGAGACACGGUCCAGACUCCUACGGGAGGCAGCAGUGGGGAAUAUUGCACAAUGGGCGCAAGCCUGAUGCAGCCAUGCCGCGUGUAUGAAGAAGGCCUUCGGGUUGUAAAGUACUUUCAGCGGGGAGGAAGGUGUUGUGGUUAAUAACCACAGCAAUUGACGUUACCCGCAGAAGAAGCACCGGCUAACUCCGUGCCAGCAGCCGCGGUAAUACGGAGGGUGCAAGCGUUAAUCGGAAUUACUGGGCGUAAAGCGCACGCAGGCGGUCUGUCAAGUCGGAUGUGAAAUCCCCGGGCUCAACCUGGGAACUGCAUUCGAAACUGGCAGGCUUGAGUCUUGUAGAGGGGGGUAGAAUUCCAGGUGUAGCGGUGAAAUGCGUAGAGAUCUGGAGGAAUACCGGUGGCGAAGGCGGCCCCCUGGACAAAGACUGACGCUCAGGUGCGAAAGCGUGGGGAGCAAACAGGAUUAGAUACCCUGGUAGUCCACGCCGUAAACGAUGUCUACUUGGAGGUUGUGCCCUUGAGGCGUGGCUUCCGGAGCUAACGCGUUAAGUAGACCGCCUGGGGAGUACGGCCGCAAGGUUAAAACUCAAAUGAAUUGACGGGGGCCCGCACAAGCGGUGGAGCAUGUGGUUUAAUUCGAUGCAACGCGAAGAACCUUACCUGGUCUUGACAUCCACAGAAGAAUCCAGAGAUGGAUUUGUGCCUUCGGGAACUGUGAGACAGGUGCUGCAUGGCUGUCGUCAGCUCGUGUUGUGAAAUGUUGGGUUAAGUCCCGCAACGAGCGCAACCCUUAUCCUUUGUUGCCAGCGAUUAGGUCGGGAACUCAAAGGAGACUGCCAGUGAUAAACUGGAGGAAGGUGGGGAUGACGUCAAGUCAUCAUGGCCCUUACGACCAGGGCUACACACGUGCUACAAUGGCGCAUACAAAGAGAAGCGACCUCGCGAGAGCAAGCGGACCUCAUAAAGUGCGUCGUAGUCCGGAUUGGAGUCUGCAACUCGACUCCAUGAAGUCGGAAUCGCUAGUAAUCGUGGAUCAGAAUGCCACGGUGAAUACGUUCCCGGGCCUUGUACACACCGCCCGUCACACCAUGGGAGUGGGUUGCAAAAGAAGUAGGUAGCUUAACCUUCGGGAGGGCGCUUACCACUUUGUGAUUCAUGACUGGGGUGAAGUCGUAACAAGGUAACCGUAGGGGAACCUGCGGUUGGAUCACCUCCUUA